GGAUCCAGACUUUGAUCCUGGCUCGGGAUAAACGCUGGCGGCGCACAUAAGACAUGCAAGUCGAACGGAAGUCGUUACGAAAUGGAAUGAAGAUUUAUCUGAUUGAAGUUUUGUAACAAUGGCUUUAGUGGCGGACUGGUGAGUAACACGUAAGCAAUCUACCUAUUAGAGGGGAAUAACAAUGAGAAAUCAUUGCUAAUACCGCAUAAGCUUGUAGUACCGCAUGGUACAGCAAGAAAAGGAGCAAUCCGCUAAUAGAUGAGCUUGCGGCUGAUUAGCUAGUUGGUGUGGUAACGGCAUACCAAGGCAACGAUCAGUAGCCGGGCUGAGAGGCUCUUCGGCCACAUUGGGACUGAGAUACGGCCCAGACUCCUACGGGAGGCAGCAGUCGGGAAUUUUGCGCAAUGGAGGAAACUCUGACGCAGUGACGCCGCGUAUAGGAAGAAGGUUUUCGGAUUGUAAACUAUUUUAGUCAGGGAAGAAAAAUGACAGUACCUGAAGAAUAAGCUCCGGCUAACUACGUGCCAGCAGCCGCGGUAAUACGUAGGGAGCAAGCGUUAUCCGGAUUUAUUGGGUGUAAAGGGUGCGUAGACGGGAAGACAAGUUGGUUGUGAAAGCCCUCGGCUCAACUGAGGAACUGCAACUAAAACUGGUUUUCUUGAGUGCAGGAGAGGUAAGUGGAAUUCCUAGUGUAGCGGUGAAAUGCGUAGAUAUUAGGAGGAACACCAGUGGCGAAGGCGACUUACUGGACUGUAACUGACGUUGAGGCACGAAAGUGGUGGGGAGCAAACAGGAUUAGAUACCCUGGUAGUCCACACCGUAAACGAUGGAUA
This 833-nucleotide ribosomal RNA is filed under the name uncultured bacterium. RNAcentral's name for it is "bacterial SSU rRNA". It matches the Rfam family "Bacterial small subunit ribosomal RNA", at positions 1 to 815 of the family's 1533-position model. The record is from RNAcentral.